Small nuclear RNA from Callithrix jacchus (white-tufted-ear marmoset), 155 nucleotides. Its record names the gene U2. It matches the Rfam family "U2 spliceosomal RNA". From Rfam's summary of the family: U2 is a small nuclear RNA (snRNA) component of the spliceosome (involved in pre-mRNA splicing). Complementary binding between U2 snRNA (in an area lying towards the 5' end but 3' to hairpin I) and the branchpoint sequence (BPS) of the intron results the bulging out of an unpaired adenosine, on the BPS, which initiates a nucleophilic attack at the intronic 5' splice site, thus starting the first of two transesterification reactions that mediate splicing. Lineage: Eukaryota; Metazoa; Chordata; Mammalia; Primates; Cebidae. The record is from Ensembl.
AGUUUUUGCUCAGCCUUUUGGCUAACAUCAAGUGUAGUAUCUGUUCUUAUCAGUUGAAUCCGACUUUCUUAAUUCAGUUUCUUGUGUUACAUUCUAUGAUCUCAAAGUGUUAGAGGAAAGAUUUCCAACAAAUUUCUUAGUGGGGAAAAAUUUCU